This 250-nucleotide ribosomal RNA is filed under the name uncultured bacterium. RNAcentral describes it as "partial 16S ribosomal RNA". It matches the Rfam family "Bacterial small subunit ribosomal RNA", at positions 57 to 305 of the family's 1533-position model. The record is from RNAcentral.
GCAAGUCGAGCGGUAACAUUUCUAGCUUGCUAGAGGAUGACGAGCGGCGGACGGGUGAGUAAUGCUUGGGAAUAUGCCUUAUGGUGGGGGACAACAGUUGGAAACGACUGCUAAUACCGCAUAACGUCUACGGACCAAAGGGGGGGAUCUUCGGACCUCUCGCCAUUUGAUUAGCCCAAGUGAGAUUAGCUAGUUGGUAAGGUAAUGGCUUACCAAGGCGACGAUAAGUAGCCGGCCUGAGAGGGUGACC